GAAUGGAGAUGGGAUUGAGAGGAAAGAUUAGAGGGGAGAAUGUGAGGGAGAAGUAAAAAAGUGAAAACAAAAAUUAAAAACUGAAAUCUAUUUGUAAUUGUUUUCACUUUUGUUAACUCAUCCCUCCUAUCCUCUCAUCUCAUCUUCUCUCUCAAUCUCACCCUCACUCC
Molecule: microRNA precursor, 170 nt
Filed under: Prunus dulcis (almond)
Lineage: Eukaryota; Viridiplantae; Streptophyta; Magnoliopsida; Rosales; Rosaceae
Description: sRNA ncRNA
Source: RNAcentral